RNAcentral lists this long non-coding RNA (453 nucleotides) under Dromaius novaehollandiae (emu). RNAcentral's name for it is "lncRNA (ENSDNVG00000008335.1)". The record is from RNAcentral. Lineage: Eukaryota; Metazoa; Chordata; Aves; Casuariiformes; Dromaiidae.
CUUUGAUGACCAUUGCAGAAGGAAGAUUGCAAUAUUCCACCUGUUAAAUCAAGCAAUUGUGGAUUUUGAUUCUUCCACUGAACGGCAGUGAUAUCUCUCUGCAGUAAUCGUGUGAGCCAGAGCCAAGCCAGCGGGCAGCAGGCAGGCAUAGAUGAAAAAUGCAGAAGCUAAAAUGAGAAGGACUGACAUUUUGACCCCUUAUCCAUCCAUCGAGCCAGUCUGCAGAGGCCAAAAUAUAACCAAAGUUUCCUGAAUCCCAGACCAGCACUCUAACUGUGAGGUGCUUUGAGCUCUUUUUCCUGAGACUGUUUUGCAGUGAUACUUACUUUCUCCUCUACCUUCAUUGGGAUGCGCUGGAAUUUCCUGGGGAAUACAAAUUGCUUGGCCAUAGCUGUUCACCAGUAACGCAACGGCUGGGUGUGGAAGAGGAGAGCCUGCGUCAGGACCGGUGAG